UACUAGCGGUCCAAGUCGCAGCCAUUUUUAUUGGGUCUAAAACAUCCGUAGCUUGCUUGAUAAGUUUCCUGUGAAAUCCGACUUCUUAAGAGCCGGACGCGCGGGAAAUACUGUUAAGCUAGAGACUGGAAGACGUGAGAAGUAUGUUCAAAGUAGCGGUAAAAUGUGUUAAUCUUGAGCAGACUAACAAUAGCGAAGGCAUCUCACGAAGACAGUUCUGACAGUAAGGGAUGAAGGCUAGGGGCGCAAAACGGAUUAGAUACCCGCGUA
RNAcentral lists this ribosomal RNA (270 nucleotides) under uncultured prokaryote. RNAcentral's name for it is "partial 16S ribosomal RNA". It matches the Rfam family "Archaeal small subunit ribosomal RNA", at positions 474 to 743 of the family's 1478-position model. The record is from RNAcentral.